Molecule: long non-coding RNA, 405 nt
Organism: Struthio camelus australis
Lineage: Eukaryota; Metazoa; Chordata; Aves; Struthioniformes; Struthionidae
Source: Ensembl
GGAGAGAGCAGCCUUUGCUUGCUGAAACUAUUGGAGAGAAGCCUGUGAGAAAUGCUCCACUUGGAAACUGAGGAAAAAGGUCUGACUGGUGUUCACGAGUGAGCUGUGGUUCAUUUCCACGUCAGGUUAAACAAGGAGGUGUGUUGCAGAACAGAGGGACUGAGUUUGAGAGCACUGACAGGCAUCUUCUAUACAAGCUGCUCAAACUUCUCCAAGGCAAUCUCCUGGCCAAUACUAACAGGGCACAUUGCAUGGAAACACUCGGACAUGGGAAUCUGCUCUUUGCGCUCAAGCGGUUAAAAGUCUGCUCCCUCCUCAACUCCUUCUAGGCUGACCCUGGAAAAUACCUCUCACAGUAGAGACUAAAUGCGGGACAGAAACUAGGGCUCCUAGGAUACAAUAAUA